AGAAUAAUUAGGUUUAGUUACUUCUCUAGUUUCUGAAAAUUCAACAAAGAAGAACGAUAAAUUAUUCCAAUUAACGAUUUCUCUGCCUCUAUUAUUGACUCUGAGUGUUUUUUAUUUUAAUUUAUGUAGAACGUAGUUUUCGUCAUGGCUCUGUCCAAUUUUCGCCUUGACUUUUAUCUUUGGGGUGAAAUCCAGUGCAAAAUUAUGUAACAUUUGUUCUGGAGAGUUUAAGGUGUUGCGUUUUUUUUCUUUUUAAUUUUUCUAUUACACAGGUCUACAAAAAAAUUUCAAAAAAUGAAUAACCCAGAAACGAAACAAUACUUAUACGAACGUUUUUGGUACGCUGAAUCCGAAUCUAACGUCAGAAUUGCUCCAUCACUCCAGAUAAUUGAAACCAGAGUGUAGAACUGCAAACCAUUAAACUACUGAUUGUUGAUUUGCAUAAAUGCAUAAAAUCUUUUAAGAAUUAUGCGGACGUCGGUGGAGGACAAAUGUGUGUUGCAGGAAAUAUUGAUAAUCAUAUCUGCUAUUGUGAUAACGGAGGAACGUUUAUAAUAGUGGAAGCUCUCUAAGGACCUCCUAGAUAUUAAUAAAUCGCUUUGUCUCAAAAGGAGCAAAACAUUGCAGAAAAUCUGCUGCAGUUUACACCUCGGUUUACACGCAAAUUUUGGAAUGUCUUACCUGAAUUUGGGACAACAUGCAGCCGUAAUUCUGGAAUAAACGAAUUUUCAAGAAAAUAGUUGAAUCUUCAACUCAAAAUGAUCAUUGAAAGAAUCCAUACAAAUCAUGGCUUUUUACGUAUUGCUUGAGAUAAACGCAAAAGGCCAUGAUUUUCAUGAUUUUGUUAUGGUUUUACCAUGAAGAUCGCCUUUCUCAUGAAAUAGAUUUUCAAUUAAGAAAACAUUUUUCAGUCAAGAGAGAAAAA
This is a long non-coding RNA of Belonocnema kinseyi, 925 nucleotides long. RefSeq lists it as uncharacterized. The record is from RefSeq and is a predicted model, not a curated record. The transcript is spliced from 4 exons. Lineage: Eukaryota; Metazoa; Arthropoda; Insecta; Hymenoptera; Cynipidae.